RNAcentral lists this ribosomal RNA (253 nucleotides) under uncultured bacterium. Its description in RNAcentral is "partial 16S ribosomal RNA". It matches the Rfam family "Bacterial small subunit ribosomal RNA", at positions 524 to 776 of the family's 1533-position model. The record is from RNAcentral.
UACGUAGGGUGCAAGCGUUAAUCGGAAUUACUGGGCGUAAAGCGUGCGCAGGCGGCUUUGCAAGACAGAUGUGAAAUCCCCGGGCUCAACCUGGGAACUGCAUUUGUGACUGCAUAGCUAGAGUACGGUAGAGGGGGAUGGAAUUCCGCGUGUAGCAGUGAAAUGCGUAGAUAUGCGGAGGAACACCGAUGGCGAAGGCAAUCCCCUGGACCUGUACUGACGCUCAUGCACGAAAGCGUGGGGAGCAAACAGG